UACGUGAGGCGGAGCAAAACACAAAACACAGUCUCAGUUCAGAUUGUAGGCUGAAACUCGCCUAUAUGAAGUCGGAAUUGCUAGUAAUCGCGGAUCAGCAUGCCGCGGUGAAUACGUUCCCGGGCCUUGUACACACCGCCCGUCACACCAUGAGAGUCGAUAACACCCGAAGCCUGUAGUCUAACAGCAAUGAGGACGCAGUCGAAGGUGGGAUUGAUAAUUAGGGUGAAGUCGUAACAAGGUACC
RNAcentral lists this ribosomal RNA (246 nucleotides) under uncultured bacterium. RNAcentral's name for it is "partial 16S ribosomal RNA". It matches the Rfam family "Bacterial small subunit ribosomal RNA", at positions 1254 to 1500 of the family's 1533-position model. The record is from RNAcentral.